UAAUGUAUGGGGAUCUGCCCGAUAGAGGGGGGUAACUACUGGAAACGGUGGCUAACACCGCAUAAUGUCUACGGACCAAAGCAGGGGCUCUUCGGACCUUGCACUAUCGGAUGAACCCAUAUGGGAUUAGCUAGUAGGUGGGGUAAAGGCUCACCUAGGCGACGAUCUCUAGCUGGUCUGAGAGGAUGAUCAGCCACACUGGGACUGAGACACGGCCCAG
Molecule: ribosomal RNA, 220 nt
Filed under: uncultured bacterium
Lineage: Bacteria
Description: partial 16S ribosomal RNA
Rfam family: Bacterial small subunit ribosomal RNA
Source: RNAcentral